Molecule: ribosomal RNA, 117 nt
Filed under: Tovomita fructipendula
Lineage: Eukaryota; Viridiplantae; Streptophyta; Magnoliopsida; Malpighiales; Clusiaceae
Description: partial 26S ribosomal RNA
Source: RNAcentral
AGACCCUCGGACAUUGUCGUGCACUGCCGUCUCCCGGGCGCUGACGGCCCAAGAAGUAGCGUUGCAUGCUCCCGAAGCGACCCCAGGUCAGGCGGGACUACCCGCUGAGUUUAAGCA